Molecule: ribosomal RNA, 736 nt
Filed under: uncultured Fusobacterium sp.
Lineage: Bacteria; Fusobacteriati; Fusobacteriota; Fusobacteriia; Fusobacteriales; Fusobacteriaceae
Description: bacterial SSU rRNA
Rfam family: Bacterial small subunit ribosomal RNA
Source: RNAcentral
GAUGAACGCUGACAGAAUGCUUAACACAUGCAAGUCUACUUGAAUUUGGGUUUUUUAACUUCGAUUUGGGUGGCGGACGGGUGAGUAACGCGUAAAGAACUUGCCUCACAGCUAGGGACAACAUUUGGAAACGAAUGCUAAUACCUGAUAUUAUGAUUAUAGGGCAUCCUAGAAUUAUGAAAGCUAUAUGCGCUGUGAGAGAGCUUUGCGUCCCAUUAGCUAGUUGGAGAGGUAACGGCUCACCAAGGCGAUGAUGGGUAGCCGGCCUGAGAGGGUGAACGGCCACAAGGGGACUGAGACACGGCCCUUACUCCUACGGGAGGCAGCAGUGGGGAAUAUUGGACAAUGGACCGAGAGUCUGAUCCAGCAAUUCUGUGUGCACGAUGACGUUUUUCGGAAUGUAAAGUGCUUUCAGUUGGGAAGAAAAAAAUGACGGUACCAACAGAAGAAGUGACGGCUAAAUACGUGCCAGCAGCCGCGGUAAUACGUAUGUCACGAGCGUUAUCCGGAUUUAUUGGGCGUAAAGCGCGUCUAGGUGGUUAUGUAAGUCUGAUGUGAAAAUGCAGGGCUCAACUCUGUAUUGCGUUGGAAACUGUGUAACUAGAGUACUGGAGAGGUAAGCGGAACUACAAGUGUAGAGGUGAAAUUCGUAGAUAUUUGUAGGAAUGCCGAUGGGGAAGCCAGCUUACUGGACAGAUACUGACGCUGAAGCGCGAAAGCGUGGGUAGCAAACAGG